GAAAGGUUUAAAUAAUAAAAAUAUAUAUAUUUUUUUUUUUUUGGUUUUUGUACUGUUGUGCAAAUGUGUUAUCGAACGUGAGAAAAUUUUUCCAUAAAAAAUUUUUUGGUGUGCUGAAAAGUUGUUUUUCUGGGAGCAUGCGCUACUGAGGAUGAGUCAUUUUAAACAAUUUAAAUUAUAUUGUUGUUAUACUAAAAUUGCUAACAUUAUAGCAAUUAUUAUAUUAUGGAUAAAAACUGGUAAAAUCCUGGCCAGAAAGGGACAACAGACUAUUCACUUGUUUCAGAUAAGAUACGGCCAUAUAAAUAAACAUACAUAAAUAGACAAUUACUUUGGCCCUUGCUGAUAAAUUACUCACUGGACAGAACGGCACCUUGGCGUCUGCUGGUGCAGCAAUAUCCGCAGCAACUCAUGAUGAGGAAGGGAAUGCACUGCCUAUUUAUCGGAUUUAUCCGCUUUUUGGCAGCACCCGUAUAAUUCACUUAAAUAUCAGUGAACUACUCUACCGGAAGGUCGUUAUUGAAGCCCGAUUGGAAUUAACUAUAUCUUAUCAGCGUUAAUCUGAAAGUAAUACAAUUUAUCAUGAUGAUAAUGGGUGCACGUUAUGCAGCACUGACUGCGCUGGCUAUGUUUAGUGAGCAGUCGAUGUAAAGCGGCGAUAGCUAGCGCACUCAACACAGCAAUCGAUAAUUCAAACAUAACAUCUGAUUUAAUUGUGUUUAAAACUUUAUUGCAAGGUAUAUAAUGGCUCAUAAUUUUAUUUAUUUGCGUUCCAAAUAUUUACUAAAUUGAGUUUGUUAUACUAAGCUUGUAUAUUUUGUAUAGAUAUUUUUUAAAACAUUACAAUUUAUCAUAAUGAUGACGUUAUGCAGCACUGACUGCUGAGUUUAGUGAGUAGUCGAUGCAAGCCAACGAUAGCUAUCGAACUCAACAAAGCAAUCGAUACUAUUGGAAUAGAAAAUAUAAGAAUUAAUUAAUUCAAA
Molecule: long non-coding RNA, 983 nt
Filed under: Drosophila melanogaster (fruit fly)
Lineage: Eukaryota; Metazoa; Arthropoda; Insecta; Diptera; Drosophilidae
Description: antisense RNA:CR45140 (Dmel_CR45140)
Source: RNAcentral